Molecule: non-coding RNA, 181 nt
Filed under: Paramoeba aestuarina
Lineage: Eukaryota; Discosea; Flabellinia; Dactylopodida; Paramoebidae
Source: RNAcentral
UUUUUAUCACUCUCUCUUUCUUUCCCUCUCUCUCUCUGUGUUGGAGAUGAGGAGGGAGGAAGGGGGGGUCUUCCUUAUGGAAGGAAACAUAUCAAAAAAUAGUACCAUAUAAUUGAGAGUUGUUGGACCUAUUUCUUGGACAAGAAAAGUAAUAAAUUUUUAUCAAAAGCAAAAAAAAAAA